AUUGAACGCUGGCGGCAUGCCUAACACAUGCAAGUCGAGCGGAUGAACGGAGUUCGCUCUUGGAUUCAGCGGCGGACGGGUGAGUAAUGCAUAGGAAUCUGCCUGGUAGUGGGGGAUAACGUCCCGAAACGGGCGCUAAUACCGCAUACGUCCUGAGGGAGAAAGUGGGGGAUCUUCAGACCUCACGCUAUCAGAUGAGCCUAGGUCGGAUUAGCUAGUUGGUGGGGUAAAGGCCUACCAAGGCGACGAUCCGUAACUGGUCUGAGAGGAUGAUCAGUCACACUGGAACUGAGACACGGUCCAGACUCCUACGGGAGGCAGCAGUGGGGAAUAUUGGACAAUGGGCGAAAGCCUGAUCCAGCCAUGCCGCGUGUGUGAAGAAGGUCUUCGGAUUGUAAAGCACUUUAAGUUGGGAGGAAGGGCAGUAAGUUAAUACCUUGCUGUUUUGACGGUACCAACAGAAUAAGCACCGGCUAACUACGUG
This 484-nucleotide ribosomal RNA is filed under the name uncultured bacterium. RNAcentral describes it as "partial 16S ribosomal RNA". It matches the Rfam family "Bacterial small subunit ribosomal RNA", at positions 30 to 507 of the family's 1533-position model. The record is from RNAcentral.